GAACGUUUUGGAAUACGGAACACAAGAAGACUUCCUCAGGCACUGCCUGUCUGGACCACAGUGUAGGACGCGCGAAUCUGCAGCUAGGGGGAUUCUGUGAUCACAAAGAACCCGGUGCUCAGAUUGCCUGUAUCUGGAGGGAACUCACCUGAAGGAAAAGCAACCGUGCUUUCCACAGACUCCAAAUCAUCCUCACGCUCGCCGAAAGCAGGGCGACUUUCCCCAUAGAAACAGAAGGCUCUGCAUUUCUCUUCUUAAGAAGUAGAAAAUCUCAGCUCUUUCAGGAUCAAUCAUGGAGCUUUCCAAGGGCAUAUUUUUCAGCACUGAGGGAAGUCGUCCCAGAGUAUUUCAUUUCCAGGUUCUGGAUUCUCGAGAUGAGAGGGAGGCAUUUCCAUUAUCUCUGUUGGGCUCCUCAAGAGAGUUGCAUGUUCUGAUGCUUGAAGGUGACGUAACCAGCUUCUGGUGACACUCAGGCCUGGCACUGCCAACCGUGUGAACUACAGCCUUCUCCUUAUUAACCACGAUCAUCACUGACUGCUCAAGGAAGAGCCUGGGGUUUGACUCCCCAAGGGGACACUGUGACUACCAGCACAGAGCUGCCUGCCCAGCUGGGCUGCUGACUGAUGGGAAGAGGGGGCUGCAGCCUGGGAAGGUCAAGGGGGAGAAAAAGCCCAGCUCUCACCUGGAUGGACACAGGCUUUCUGUCAGGCCUCCUACUUUGCAUGUUUUUCCUCUUUCCCUGCACGGUUAGGACUCCAGCAGGAGACUGAAAGAAGAACUGGCAGGGAUCGAACUCAGGACCUUGCACUUGCAAGGCAGACAACAGCACCACUGAGCUACACAACAUUCAUAUUUUGUCAGACACGACUGUGGACUGGUCUUUCUUUUGCCUACAUCAGGAAUGGUAGCAGAAUGGCCUUAUGUGAUAUUGAUGUUCUGUGAAAUCAUCUAUGGUCCAUCAAGUUUCAGGCCAGCUUUUAGAUUUCAGCAACUGCAUUUUUCUCAAUAGUUUCUCCUGAAAUUUUUAGGGGGUUUGUACAUAUUAAGCAUAUUUACUUUUUCCCCACAGUGCUGCCAGCAUUUGUUAUUGGUUGAUUUCUUGAGAGCACCCAUUCUUUCUG
RNAcentral lists this long non-coding RNA (1121 nucleotides) under Heterocephalus glaber (naked mole-rat). RNAcentral's name for it is "lncRNA (ENSHGLG00100033131.1)". Lineage: Eukaryota; Metazoa; Chordata; Mammalia; Rodentia; Bathyergidae. The record is from RNAcentral.